CCUACGGGAGGCAGCAGUGGGGAAUCUUCCGCAAUGGGCGAAAGCCUGACGGAGCAACGCCGCGUGAUCGAAUGAAGGCCUUCGGGUUGUAAAGAUCUGUUGACAGGGACGAAUAAGCAAUGCGAAUAGGUUUUUGUAUGACGGUACCUGUUCAGACAGCUCCGGCUAACUCCGUGCCAGCAGCCGCGGGAAUACGGAGGGAGCAUGCGUGGUCCGGCAGUACUGGGCGUAAAGGGCGCGUAGGUGGGCGCUUAAGUCAGGUGUGAAACCUCCGGGCUCAACCUGGAGACUGCAGUUGAAACUGGGUGGCUUGAGGGCAGGAGAGGAAGGUGGAAUUCGUAGUGUAGCGGUGAAAUGCGUAGAUAUUAGGAGGAACACCAAUGGCGAAGGCGACUUUCUGGACUGUAACUGACGCUGAGGCGCGAAAGCGUGGGUAGCGAACGGGAUUAGAUACCCCAGUAGUC
RNAcentral lists this ribosomal RNA (464 nucleotides) under uncultured bacterium. Its description in RNAcentral is "partial 16S ribosomal RNA". It matches the Rfam family "Bacterial small subunit ribosomal RNA", at positions 338 to 795 of the family's 1533-position model. The record is from RNAcentral.